UUGGGAACUUCAGUAUGCAUCCCCACCUUGCAAAGUCAUGUGGUUGAGGAAUGGUUUGUUGUAAGAUAGUUUGGAUAAAGAACGUGUGAUAUCUCCUUAAGUACAAGGAUAAUUUUUGGUCUGUAGUUAUAACAGCUGUUGAGAUAAUAGAGUUUCUUGUGUGCUAAUUUGGAGUAAAGAAAAUGCUUCUCCUAGUGUAGUAGCCUGUCUGCAAGGUCAUAGAAUCACAGAUUGGCUUGGGUUGGAUGAAGAUGAAGGUUUUAAUGAUUUAAAUAAUUAAUUGAGGUCCUGCUCUGGGAACGAAGGGGAUCAGCUGAACGUUAUCGUGCUGAAGGAGAAUGAUUUCUUUGCUGGGUCUACAGUGCCAUCUACAGCACCAAGACUGCAGCUGAAAAUAAAUUCUAGCACCUAGGUCAUCCCCAUCCAGAUGCAUUUGGAGAGCUGAGCACAGCAAUGUGUAGAAGGAUUUCAUGGACCCACAGUGUGAUGCCAAGGAGGCGUACAGCCUUGCUCAUCACUGCACCUUCCCCCAGUGGUACUUGAAAGUUAUGAUGGACCACAGAGCUCCUUAGAAGUAAAUAUGUACCGUCUUUGCACUCUUUACUUUCUACAAAAUUUUUGUAAUUUAAAAAAAUGAAAUCAACAAUGAAGAUUU
Phasianus colchicus (ring-necked pheasant) is the source of this 655-nucleotide long non-coding RNA. RefSeq lists it as uncharacterized. NCBI's taxonomy places the organism in Eukaryota, Metazoa, Chordata, Aves, Galliformes, Phasianidae. The record is from RefSeq and is a predicted model, not a curated record.